This 464-nucleotide ribosomal RNA is filed under the name uncultured bacterium. Its description in RNAcentral is "bacterial SSU rRNA". It matches the Rfam family "Bacterial small subunit ribosomal RNA", at positions 335 to 796 of the family's 1533-position model. The record is from RNAcentral.
ACUCCUACGGGAGGCAGCAGUGAGGAAUAUUGGUCAAUGGACGCAAGUCUGAACCAGCCAUGCCGCGUGCAGGAUGACGGCCCUAUGGGUUGUAAACUGCUUUUGUAUGGGAAGAAACCCCUGAUCGUGAUCAGGGCUGACGGUACUGUACGAAUAAGCAUCGGCUAACUCCGUGCCAGCAGCCGCGGUAAUACGGAGGAUGCAAGCGUUAUCCGGAUUUAUUGGGUUUAAAGGGUGCGUAGGCGGGGUAGCAAGUCAGUGGUGAAAGUCUGCAGCUUAACUGUAGAAUUGCCGUUGAUACUGUUACUCUUGAAUUCAGUUGAGGUAGGCGGAAUGUGUAAUGUAGCGGUGAAAUGCAUAGAUAUUACACAGAACACCGAUUGCGUAGGCAGCUUGCUAAACUGAGAUUGACGCUGAGGCACGAAAGCGUGGGGAGCAAACAGGAUUAGAAACCCGGGUAGUCC